UACACUUACAAUUGAGGGUAUGGUAGA
Molecule: small RNA, 27 nt
Filed under: Bombyx mori (domestic silkworm)
Lineage: Eukaryota; Metazoa; Arthropoda; Insecta; Lepidoptera; Bombycidae
Description: ovarian small RNA-20233
Source: RNAcentral